UGGACCCUGAGCGAGCACAGUGAGGGCAGAGCCUGUACCAGAACCUGGGCCCCUUCAUCCUUGUCCAUUGCUCUUUCUACUCCAGCAGCGAAUUUGCUGACCCAAAUUAGACCUGCAGAAUAUUUAUCCUUCUGGGUUGCUGAGGUGCCCAGCUGUGGGAGCAGACCCAGAGAAGAGGUGCGGCUAAGGAAGUGAAGUGAGUGGCCUCUUCUGCACAGCCCUGGGCUUAGCUGUGACUGUGUGAUAGGAAUUCAGGUGGAAGCAUCACACUUUUGCCCCAUUCAUCCCCGCUUCUAAGCCUGUGCUGCAGGAAUUUGUGUGAGGUGAAAGAAAUGGAUGCUCCCUCCUGUAAACAGCCUUUGCCUUAGAUCUGGGGAAGGAUGGACAUUCCUGGCAACCCUCCUGGGGAAUCAGCUAGAGGCUGCGUGGAUGCAGACUUGACUUCAGGUACACUUCUUUAUUGGUUAACCUACCUUCCUUCUGGGAGGAAGGAACACUUUUGCAAUGUCCCCAGAGGGACAUUUGCCACCUGGAAUCCAACCGAAUGGAGUCUGCCAGGAGCUUGUGCAGCAUCUGCAAUGCCAGUUCCAGUUUACAGAGGACUCAGGCUGGCAGUGAGGACUCAGCUGAGAUCAUCAAACCUUUGGAACUGGCUUGAGCUCAAAAUGCUAGGUGCCCUGAGCCAAGAAGCAACAGAACUCACUUGUGGCUCCCUUGUCCUGAAGCCACAGGGCCACAUGCUGAAGGCCUGCCCCUGCAGCUCUCUCCAACCUCAUCAGACCAGCAAAACCACCUUGUUCCUAAGU
This 806-nucleotide long non-coding RNA is filed under the name Macaca mulatta (Rhesus monkey). RNAcentral's name for it is "lncRNA (ENSMMUG00000051835.1)". The record is from RNAcentral. Lineage: Eukaryota; Metazoa; Chordata; Mammalia; Primates; Cercopithecidae.